This 73-nucleotide transfer RNA is filed under the name Mustela putorius furo (domestic ferret). It matches the Rfam family "tRNA". Rfam says of the family: Transfer RNA (tRNA) molecules are approximately 80 nucleotides in length. Their secondary structure includes four short double-helical elements and three loops (D, anti-codon, and T loops). The record is from Rfam by way of RNAcentral. Lineage: Eukaryota; Metazoa; Chordata; Mammalia; Carnivora; Mustelidae.
AUCUGGCUGGCUCAGUGGGUAGAGCACAUGACUCUUGAUCUUGGGGUUGUGAGUUUGAGCCCCACGUUGGGCA